AUUUCCCUGCGCUGUUGGUGAUCUCCAGUGUUGUUGAGCCAACUCUCAUUAAAAGGGAGCCCUCGCUACCGUUGGAUGGAAAAUCGUACGCGAAUUUCCUGAUGACUGUAUGGGGAUCCCACCUAUAUUCAUAGGUUUAACGUACCUGUUGACACGGCAGGGCGGGGAGCUU
This 172-nucleotide non-coding RNA is filed under the name Desulfocapsaceae bacterium. Its description in RNAcentral is "6S RNA". It matches the Rfam family "6S / SsrS RNA". From Rfam's summary of the family: E. coli 6S RNA was the first non coding RNA to be sequenced, but its function was unknown until recently. It consists of 184 nucleotides that fold into an extended hairpin structure with a large single-stranded internal bulge. Lineage: Bacteria; Pseudomonadati; Thermodesulfobacteriota; Desulfobulbia; Desulfobulbales; Desulfocapsaceae. The record is from RNAcentral.